AUGGGGAGUUCGCGAGCGCGGGUCGGGCAGGACGGACUUAGGGCCGGGGCCAACUCGGCUCCUGAGCCUGCCGCAGCGGUCACCGCAUCACCCGGCGGCGGCCCCUUUAUGCGCUGCCGCCCGAGCCGCCGCCGCCGCCGCCGCCGCCGCCACCGCGGUAGCUGCCUCUUCCUUCUAGGCUCAGCGCCGCCUCCUCAGCCGCCGCGGAUCCCUCCGCCGGGGAGCAAGAGCUCAGGCCUCGGGCUCGGCCGGCGGCUCUGGGUAGGACAGCCAGAGGGACUGCCUGCUGCAGGUGGACCGAGGGACGCGCGGGCGGGCGGCGCCGCCGGGGUGGGGCAGCCGGAGCGCGGGGUGGGCCCAGGCCGAGGGGCAGGUCGGGAGAGCAGGGAUUGGCGGGCCGGGGGAAGGGAGGGCCGGGCCGCGCCGGCGGCGGAGGGAUACGGGCCGCCCCUGUGAGUACCUCACGCGCCGUCGCUGUCGCCGCCGCGGCCGGCGAGAGGAUGACGCCGCGAAGCGCAGAGGGGAGAUCUCGCGAGACCUGUGGCGCGGGUCGCAGAGGCUUGCCGGUUGUGGUCCUUGAUCGCAUUGCCCGUGGGCUCUCAGCUUUCAUUCGCGUGAUACAUGAGAUAAAUAAAAGUUUAAAAGCGAAUGUUUUCCAUAUCACUCGACCGUCCCCAUAGCAUAAACCGACCGGGGAAGAGCAAGUAGGGCCAUAGGAGGAAAGAACUUGUCCAAGGUCACACAGCUCCACAGUGGCAUAGCUUGGGACUUCCCUCAAGUCGAGUUCAGUUCAGUUCAGUCGCUCAGUCGUGUCCGACUCUUUAUGACCCCA
This 832-nucleotide long non-coding RNA is filed under the name Capra hircus (goat). RNAcentral describes it as "lncRNA (ENSCHIG00010012711.1)". Lineage: Eukaryota; Metazoa; Chordata; Mammalia; Artiodactyla; Bovidae. The record is from RNAcentral.